RNAcentral lists this ribosomal RNA (484 nucleotides) under uncultured bacterium. RNAcentral describes it as "partial 16S ribosomal RNA". It matches the Rfam family "Bacterial small subunit ribosomal RNA", at positions 30 to 507 of the family's 1533-position model. The record is from RNAcentral.
AUUGAACGCUGGCGGCAGGCCUAACACAUGCAAGUCGAGCGGAUGAAGGGAGCUUGCUCCUGGAUUCAGCGGCGGACGGGUGAGUAAUGCCUAGGAAUCUGCCUGGUAGUGGGGGAUAACGUCCGGAAACGGGCGCUAAUACCGCAUACGUCCUGAGGGAGAAAGUGGGGGAUCUUCGGACCUCACGCUAUCAGAUGAGCCUAGGUCGGAUUAGCUAGUUGGUGGGGUAAAGGCCUACCAAGGCGACGAUCCGUAACUGGUCUGAGAGGAUGAUCAGUCACAGGGGAACUGAGACACGGCCAGGACCCCUACGGGAGGCAGCAGUGGGGAAUAUGGGGCAAGGGGGGAAGACCUGACCCAGCAAUGCCGGGUGUGGAAAGAAGGUCUUCGGAUUGAAAAGCUUUUUAAUUUGGGAGAAAGGAAAUUAUUUUAAUCCCUGGCUGUUUUGACGUUACCAAAAAAAAAAGCCCCGGCUAACUACGUG